Long non-coding RNA from Fundulus heteroclitus (mummichog), 491 nucleotides. RefSeq lists it as uncharacterized. Lineage: Eukaryota; Metazoa; Chordata; Actinopteri; Cyprinodontiformes; Fundulidae. The record is from RefSeq and is a predicted model, not a curated record. The transcript is spliced from 3 exons.
AGAAAAUGCAUCCAAUUCAACAAAAAAAUUGUUGGCAAGAAAUAAUCACUGCCAUCAGUUGACAUGAGUAUGAUAUCACUCUAAAAAUUUCAUUGCAUGUAGUGAGGAAUGUUAGAAAAUAAAUCACUUUCAACCACAACAUUUUUCCCCUCUGUUUUUUAAGGACACUUGGAGGAAGCACAUUCUGAAGAAAAUGCAUCUACUUUAACAAAGAAAAUUUGUGGCACAAAGAAACCCUCAUUGCCAUCAGUUCAAAACGUACACUCAGAGGAAGAACCUCCUGAAGAAGGGGCAGCCAUUUCUAAAAACAAAAUGGGUGGCAUUAAUAAAUCCUCAUUGCAAUCAAUUAAAAAAGGAAAAUCCAGAAGGCCCUGGUCAAAGACUGAGGGAGACAUUGUUGAAAGCCAUUUCAAAGACUUCCUGAAAGAAAUGAAGAUGCCUGGAAAAGUGCACUGUCAGAGAUGCAUAGAUGAAAAUCAGAUUCUAAGGGA